CACCGCCCGUCACACCCUGGGAAUUGGUUUCGCCCGAAGCAUCGGACCAAUGAUCACCCAUGACUUCUGUGUACCACGAGUGCCACAAAGGCUUUUGGUGGUCUUAUUGGCGCAUACCACGGUGGGGUCUUCGACUGGGGGUGAAGUCGUAACAAAGGUAGCCGUAGGGGAACCUGUGGCUG
This 182-nucleotide non-coding RNA is filed under the name Eucalyptus grandis. RNAcentral describes it as "Bacterial small subunit ribosomal RNA". It matches the Rfam family "Bacterial small subunit ribosomal RNA", at positions 1388 to 1520 of the family's 1533-position model. The record is from Rfam by way of RNAcentral. Lineage: Eukaryota; Viridiplantae; Streptophyta; Magnoliopsida; Myrtales; Myrtaceae.